GCCAGGCGAGGUGAUGCACCCCUGUAAAUCCAGCAGCUCAGGAGGCUGAGGUAGGAGGAUCACAAGUUCAAGGCCAAUCUCAGCAACUUAGUGAGAUCCUGUCUCUA
RNAcentral lists this small RNA (107 nucleotides) under Marmota monax (woodchuck). Lineage: Eukaryota; Metazoa; Chordata; Mammalia; Rodentia; Sciuridae. The record is from RNAcentral.